This 582-nucleotide ribosomal RNA is filed under the name Triticum aestivum (bread wheat). RNAcentral's name for it is "partial small subunit ribosomal RNA". The record is from RNAcentral. Lineage: Eukaryota; Viridiplantae; Streptophyta; Magnoliopsida; Poales; Poaceae.
AUGCCUGUAGGAUCCGAUAAUGACACAAUUGAGGAUGACGAUGAAACGAGCAUGUCAUCUGCUAUACCUAGCGAGGUUGAUCCAUUAGACUUUGUCUACACAAACAUCCCAGACACCACUCACAUCCUGAAACUCGACGCAAACUUCAAACACUGCAAGGCCAAAAAGUUUGUGUCUGAGACUGACGGGUUCUUCUGUUGCAAUGGACAGAUCGAACUUAAACAACCGGAACCAGUCCCAGAGCUGAUGAGGCUAUGGUCCAACAUGGAUGCAAAUUCUAGACAUUUACAGGAGAACAUACGGUUCUUCAAUGAGCAUUUCUCCAUCACAACCCUUGGCGUCAUCCUUGAUGAGAAGUACACAAACAUGAAGUCUGGGGUGUACACAUUCUGGGCACACGGCACUAGCUACCACAAUGUGCACUCGUUCGGGCCUAACUCCCAUCCAGAACAUCUGCAAUUAUACUUCUAUGAUGACGACCUAACCAUAACUCAUCGUAAGGCGGCCACCAAGCAAUUAGACCAGGAUGUCUUUAAGAAGUUAGUAGACACUCAAAGAAAACCCGUACUCCCAGAAAUUUAG